UGACUCGGCUUAAACUAACCCGUCCUGACAGGGUUAAAAGGAGCAAACGACGAACUCGUGCGAAGCGGAGAGACGUUGGCGGGGGGAAUGGCAUCGUUCCACCGGUCCGCCGCCGCCGCCGCGAGGUCCGUCGCCGUACGUUCGGAAACCGUUCUCCCCGGUCCCACGCCGUCGAUGAGAGCGGCUCUCCUGCCGCCGUCGCCUCCUGCGGCCUCAAAUCGUUCCUAGCCGUCGAUUCCUCCUGCUGGAGUUGCUUUCUCAAGAUUUUGCUGUUCCUCGGUGAUAAAAGAUAGAGGACUGCCCAAGUUUCAAGCAGCCUGAGCUACUUGUUAUACUUGUUCAAGAGCCACUCUUCAGAGCCCUGUGAUUGUGCUCUGUGGGAGAGAUUGUUCCUCCAACAUGCUCCUUAUUACAUGUCAUGCUUGUUGAGUUGCUGAUGAUCGUGGAACUACUCAUGUUAUGUUACUCCUUUUCACUAUUGCUAUGCUUUGACUUCAUGUUGGGGUUGUUAAAUCAAUAAAAGUAACAGUGAUUUGUGUCA
Molecule: long non-coding RNA, 541 nt
Organism: Elaeis guineensis (African oil palm)
Lineage: Eukaryota; Viridiplantae; Streptophyta; Magnoliopsida; Arecales; Arecaceae
Source: RefSeq, a predicted model, not a curated record